ACCCGAGACUCAGUGAAAUUGAACUCGCUGUGAAGAUGCAGUGUACCCGCGGCAAGACGGAAAGACCCCGUGAACCUUUACUACAGCUUGACACUGAACAUUGAGCCUUGAUGUGUAGGAUAGGUGGGAGGCUUUGAAGCGUGGACGCCAGUCUGCGUGGAGCCGACCUUGAAAUACCACCCUUUAAUGUUUGAUGUUCUAACCUGGCGCCGUGAUCCGGCGUGGGGACAGUGUCUGGUGGGUAGUUUGACUGGGGCGGUCUCCUCCCAAAGUGUAACGGAGGAGCACGAAGGUCAGCUAAUCCUGGUCGGACAUCAGGAGGUUAGUGCAAUGGCAUAAGCUGGCUUGACUGCGAGAGUGACGGCUCGAGCAGGUGCGAAAGCAGGUCAUAGUGAUCCGGUGGUUCUGUAUGGAAGGGCCAUCGCUCAACGGAUAAAAGGUACUCCGGGGAUAACAGGCUGAUACCGCCCAAGAGUUCAUAUCGACGGCGGUGUUUGGCACCUCGAUGUCGGCUCAUCACAUCCUGGGGCUGAAGUAGGUCCCAAGGGUAUGGCUGUUCGCCAUUUAAAGUGGUACGCGAGCUGGGUUUAGAACGUCGUGAGAC
RNAcentral lists this ribosomal RNA (604 nucleotides) under Leptospira borgpetersenii serovar Ballum. RNAcentral's name for it is "partial 23S ribosomal RNA". It matches the Rfam family "Bacterial large subunit ribosomal RNA", at positions 2024 to 2627 of the family's 2925-position model. Lineage: Bacteria; Pseudomonadati; Spirochaetota; Leptospiria; Leptospirales; Leptospiraceae. The record is from RNAcentral.